Molecule: long non-coding RNA, 373 nt
Filed under: Androctonus crassicauda
Lineage: Eukaryota; Metazoa; Arthropoda; Arachnida; Scorpiones; Buthidae
Source: RNAcentral
CGUCAUUGGAUCUUUUGAUACUAUUCCCAAUUCGAACAAAAUUAUUUUGCUAUAUAAUUCAUUUUGAAUCAGUCGGAUGACGCCACCUGCCGUGGUAAUGAUGUCAUUCCAUUAUGUCAUGGCCACGUCUCACAACGAUUACGUUUCGUGAUGUCAUACAUCGUUACCUUACUAAUGGCGUCGUCCCUAAUUCAAGUUCGAUUUGGGAUUUUCGUUGCACCCAAAAUGCUCCACUCCUGGCCAUCUCGAUCGCAGCCAGCCUAUGUUAUGGUGCCGCGGGAAAUAUCUACCUGUGGUAGGCGAGACACUACAAGUGGUUGGUGCGAACCUAAUCCUUGUAAGAAUGGCCAAUGUGUGAUGGCUUCUCGAGAAG